This 484-nucleotide ribosomal RNA is filed under the name uncultured bacterium. RNAcentral's name for it is "partial 16S ribosomal RNA". It matches the Rfam family "Bacterial small subunit ribosomal RNA", at positions 30 to 507 of the family's 1533-position model. The record is from RNAcentral.
AUUGAACGCUGGCGGCAGGCCUAACACAUGCAAGUCGAGCGGAUGAAGGGAGCUUGCUCCUGGAUUCAGCGGCGGACGGGUGAGUAAUGCCUAGGAAUCUGCCUGGCAGUGGGGGAUAACGUCCGGAAACGGGCGCUAAUACCGCAUACGUCCUGAGGGAGAAAGUGGGGGAUCUUGGGACCUUACGAUCUCAGAUGAGCCAAGGUCGGAUUAGCUAGUUGGGGGGGUAAAGGCCUACAAAGGCGACGAUCCGUAACUGGUCUGAGAGGAUGAUCAGUCACACUGGAACUGAGACACGGUCCAGACUCCUACGGGAGGCAGCAGUGGGGAAUAUUGGACAAUGGGCGAAAGCCUGAUCCAGCCAUGCCGCGUGUGUGAAGAAGGUCUUCGGAUUGUAAAGCACUUUUAUUGGGGAGGAAGGGCAGUAAGUUAAUACCUUGCUGUUUUGACGUUACCAACAGAAUAAGCACCGGCUAACUUCGUG